GAGUCUUAAUUGGGCGUUAAGUUGCAGGGUAUAGACCCGAAACCCGGUGAUCUAGCCAUGGGCAGGUUGAAGGUUGGGUAACACUAACUGGAGGACCGAACCGACUAAUGUUGAAAAAUUAGCGGAUGACCUGUGGCUGGGGGUGAAAGGCCAAUCAAACCGGGAGAUAGCUGGUUCUCCCCGAAAGCUAUUUAGGUAGCGCCUCGUGAAUUCAUCUCCGGGGGUAGAGCACUGUUUCGGCUAGGGGGCCAUCCCGGCUUACCAACCCGAUGCAAACUGCGAAUACCGGAGAAUGUUAUCACGGGAGACACACGGCGGGUGCUAACGUCCGUCGUGAAGAGGGAAACAACCCAGACCGCCAGCUAAGGUCCCAAAGUCAUGGUUAAGUGGGAAACGAUGUGGGAAGGCCCAGACAGCCAGGAUGUUGGCUUAGAAGCAGCCAUCAUUUAAAGAAAGCGUAAUAGCUCACUGGUCGAGUCGGCCUGCGCGGAAGAUGUAACGGGGCUAAACCAUGCACCGAAGCUGCGGCAGCGACGCUUAUGCGUUGUUGGGUAGGGGAGCGUUCUGUAAGCCUGUGAAGGUGGCCUGUGAGGGUUGCUGGAGGUAUCAGAAGUGCGAAUGCUGACAUAAGUAACGAUAAAGCGGGUGAAAAGCCCGCUCGCCGGAAGACCAAGGGUUCCUGUCCAACGUUAAUCGGGGCAGGGUGAGUCGACCCCUAAGGCGAGGCCGAAAGGCGUAGUCGAUGGGAAACGGGUUAAUAUUCCCGUACUUGGUGUUACUGCGAAGGGGGGACGGAGAAGGCUAUGUUGGCCGGGCGACGGUUGUCCCGGUUUAAGCGUGUAGGUGUGUGUUCCAGGUAAAUCCGGUUCACUUUAACACUGAGGCGUGAUGACGAGGCACUACGGUGCUGAAGUAACAAAUGCCCUGCUUCCAGGAAAAGCCUCUAAGCAUCAGGUAACAUCAAAUCGUACCCCAAACCGACACAGGUGGUCAGGUAGAGAAUACCAAGGCGCUUGAGAGAACUCGGGUGAAGGAACUAGGCAAAAUGGUGCCGUAACUUCGGGAGAAGGCACGCUGACAC
Molecule: ribosomal RNA, 1081 nt
Filed under: Salmonella enterica
Lineage: Bacteria; Pseudomonadati; Pseudomonadota; Gammaproteobacteria; Enterobacterales; Enterobacteriaceae
Description: partial 23S ribosomal RNA
Rfam family: Bacterial large subunit ribosomal RNA
Source: RNAcentral